This is an RNA transcript of Ananas comosus (pineapple), 1210 nucleotides long. It is a transcript of the gene named 40S ribosomal protein S30-like, with no coding region annotated. The record is from RefSeq and is a predicted model, not a curated record. The transcript has 4 exons. Lineage: Eukaryota; Viridiplantae; Streptophyta; Magnoliopsida; Poales; Bromeliaceae.
GCCUCGAACUUUUCGUCGUCUUCUUCCCUCUUCCUCCCUCCUCGCGCUCUCGCUGCAACAAAACCCUAGCGACCAAAUCAACCAUGGGAAAGGUGCACGGAUCUCUUGCGCGUGCGGGGAAGGUGAAGGGCCAAACGCCGAAGAUGGAGAAGACGAACUUGAGAGGGAAGCCGUACGGCCGCGCCCGCAAGCGCAUGCAAUACAACCGCCGAUUCGUCACCGCCGUUGUUGGAUUUGGGAGGAAGAGAGGGCCUAACUCGGGCGAGAAGUCUAAAUAGUCGAAGAAGUAAAGAUGGAGAUCGAUACACAGCUGGUAGUAGCUGCUAACUAUUCUAAACUCGUUCCGCCCUUUUAUUUUCUAGGGUUUUGUUUUUAGCGUUACUAUAGUUUGUUAUAGUUGAGUUGACCAGCGUUAUGAGACUGCUUUACGGGACUACAGUUUUGCUGGGAUGAUAGUACAUUGAUCCCUUCUUUCAGAUAUUAACAUAGUUGGAUUCUUCCGUGGAUAAUAUACCUUAGUAGUUUACUGAUUUCCCUCAAAAGUUGGCUUGUUUUGGUGUUCCUUUAUGCUUGAUGUUUUUUUUUUAUGUGACCAUGAUAUUUGUUUAUUUUCACUAGUAAGUGAAGACCGAAGAAUGAUGCUCUUGUUCUUUCGAAUAUUUAUUACGACUGCUUGGGCGAGGGUUGGUUGAUCAUCUCAGUGCUCCCCUUUUUGAAGGACACAAGUUUUCAUGUGUAAAUGGGUUUUUUGGCGGAAUAGGUAUGUGGUCGAGUAUCCAAUACAGAGUGGAAGGGAUUAACUGGGAGGGAUUUACAAGGUGGAGAAUAUGAACUAAGAAGGUUUUUGGUAGGACAUAUAGCAAUUGUAGUGGAGGUUUUUGGUGUAUAGGGACUUGGGGAGUAAACCAAAGCUUAGUUGAAGAUAAUAUUUUGAGAUAGGGCCAUUCACUCACACUCUUCAAAGUUUUGGUUAUUGAAACCAAAGUGACUACGUACACAAUUUCAUUGAUUUAAAAGGUGCUGCAAAAUUCUUCUUCUUAACUAGUGUUUGAAUGAAAAUUACAGGUAGAAGCCAGAAACAAUAUGUUCCUUUUGUCUUCUUGAGAAAUAGAGGAUGAAUGACUGACUAUGUAGAGUGGUUGUAGCAAACUACAGGUUGAAGUGGAGUCCAAUUAUUUAUAUACAUGCUCUUUUUUGUGAUGUCCUUUAA